UCGGCUAAAGUAUGUCUCGUGAAUUCCUUACGAUGACAUGGCAAAGUGUGUUUUUUUACUCCCGUCUGGGCGCGUGAAACCCUCAAAAUUAUGUUUUUCUCUUUUUUCUUUUUAAAUUAACCUUAUUUUAAUGACCCACUUACCUUCAUAUUCAUACUUCUUUCUUCUUCAUGUUUCACCAUUGCUGGAUAACAAGAACAAUAAAAAAGUUUCUUCCAAAUUACAACAAAUGGAAAUAACAUAAAAUAAGCACGCAAUUUCAUCCAAUAUUACUAUCACAAUUGCUUAAUUUUUUUCCUUAAAAAAAAUCGAGAAACAUCUGCAGCUUAGCCUUUCUUCUUCGUGGCUAAACCACCUCACCACCUGUAAUUCACCGUGAAACCACCAUAGAGGCAAUGAAAAUCAACCACUAAAGCUCCGAUAAAGCCACUGUAAAUCACCUUAAACUGUCGGACGAUAAAUCAAAGGAUACUUUUACACUAAAAAUAACUAAUUAGAGAAACAAAAGUGAUAUAAGCCCAAAUUUAUUGUCAAGAAAAUAAUGGGGAGAGAAGGCUGAAGACUCCGGUAAAACCAUUUGUUUCAGCUUCGGUCAGAGAUCAAUUUUCCGGCGAGGGUUGCAUGAGAGGAGUUUUUUU
Molecule: long non-coding RNA, 638 nt
Filed under: Nicotiana benthamiana
Lineage: Eukaryota; Viridiplantae; Streptophyta; Magnoliopsida; Solanales; Solanaceae
Description: long non-coding RNA (NBEN_LNC023262)
Source: RNAcentral